RNAcentral lists this ribosomal RNA (425 nucleotides) under uncultured bacterium. Its description in RNAcentral is "partial 16S ribosomal RNA". It matches the Rfam family "Bacterial small subunit ribosomal RNA", at positions 354 to 796 of the family's 1533-position model. The record is from RNAcentral.
GUGGGGAAUCUUGCGCAAUGGGCGAAAGCCUGACGCAGCCAUGCCGCGUGGAUGAUGAAGGUCUUAGGAUUGUAAAAUCCUUUCACCGGUGAAGAUAAUGACUGUAGCCGGAGAAGAAGCCCCGGCUAACUUCGUGCCAGCAGCCGCGGUAAUACAAAGGGUGCUAGCGUUGCUCGGAAUUACUGGGCGUAAAGGGAGCGUAGGCGGACAUUUAAGUCAGGGGUGAAAUCCCGAGGCUCAACCUCGGAACUGCCUUUGAUACUGGGUGUCUUGAGUGUUAGAGAGGUGAGUGGAACUCCGAGUGUAGAGGUGAAAUUCGUAGAUAUUCGGAAGAACACCAGUGGCGAAGGCGACUCACUGGCUCAUUACUGACGCUGAGGCUCGAAAGCGUGGGGAGCAAACAGGAUUAGAUACCCUUGUAGUCC